This 72-nucleotide transfer RNA is filed under the name Parrhinotermes browni. RNAcentral describes it as "tRNA-Val". Lineage: Eukaryota; Metazoa; Arthropoda; Insecta; Blattodea; Rhinotermitidae. The record is from RNAcentral.
CGGGCUAAAUUCUUUUAAUUUGGAAUCUUCAUUUACGCUGGGGGGUUUGUCGUGUGAUUCGGCAUGGUCUGA